CCUACGGGAGGCAGCAGUGGGGAAUAUUGCACAAUGGGGGAAACCCUGAUGCAGCGACGCCGCGUGAGUGAAGAAGUAUUUCGGUAUGUAAAGCUCUAUCAGCAGGGAAGAAGAAAGACGGUACCUGACUAAGAAGCCCCGGCUAACUACGUGCCAGCAGCCGCGGUAAUACGGAGGAUGCGAGCGUUAUCCGGAUUUAUUGGGUUUAAAGGGUGCGCAGGCGGAAGAUCAAGUCAGCGGUAAAAUUGAGAGGCUCAACCUCUUCGAGCCGUUGAAACUGAUGUUCUUGAGUGGGCGAGAAGUAUGCGGAAUGCGUGGUGUAGCGGUGAAAUGCAUAGAUAUCACGCAGAACUCCGAUUGCGAAGGCAGCAUACCGGCGCCCAACUGACGCUGAAGCACGAAAGCGUGGGUAUCGAACAGGAUUAGAUACCCCAGUAGUC
Molecule: ribosomal RNA, 440 nt
Filed under: uncultured bacterium
Lineage: Bacteria
Description: partial 16S ribosomal RNA
Rfam family: Bacterial small subunit ribosomal RNA
Source: RNAcentral